GAGCAAUGAUGAAAAGGUUUUACUACUGACCUUUAUAACUAUUAAGAUUUCUACACUUGAUCUGAGGUCA
RNAcentral lists this small nucleolar RNA (70 nucleotides) under Rhinolophus ferrumequinum (greater horseshoe bat). RNAcentral describes it as "Small nucleolar RNA U2-30 (ENSRFEG00010019126.1)". It matches the Rfam family "Small nucleolar RNA U2-30". From Rfam's summary of the family: U2-30 is a member of the C/D class of snoRNA which contain the C (UGAUGA) and D (CUGA) box motifs. The record is from Rfam by way of RNAcentral. Lineage: Eukaryota; Metazoa; Chordata; Mammalia; Chiroptera; Rhinolophidae.